GAUGAACGCUGGCGGCGUGCCUAAUACAUGCCAGUCGAGCGAACAGACGAGGAGCUUGCUCCUCUGACGUUAGCGGCGGACGGGUGAGUAACACGUGGAUAACCUACCUAUAAGACUGGGAUAACUUCGGGAAACCGGAGCUAAUACCGGAUAAUAUAUUGAACCGCAUGGUUCAAUAGUGAAAGACGGUUUUGCUGUCACUUAUAGAUGGAUCCGCGCCGCAUUAGCUAGUUGGUAAGGUAACGGCUUACCAAGGCAACGAUGCGUAGCCGACCUGAGAGGGUGAUCGGCCACACGGAAACUGAGACACGGCCCAGACUCCUACGGAGGCAGCAGUAGGGAAUCUUCCGCAAUGGGCGAAAGCCUGACGGAGCAUCGCCGCGUGAGUGAUGAAGGUCUUCGGAUCGUAAAACUCUGUUAUUAGGGAAGAACAAAUGUGUAAGUAACUAUGCACGUCUUGACGGUACCUAAUCAGAAAGCCACGGCUAACUACGUG
RNAcentral lists this ribosomal RNA (496 nucleotides) under uncultured bacterium. RNAcentral's name for it is "partial 16S ribosomal RNA". It matches the Rfam family "Bacterial small subunit ribosomal RNA", at positions 28 to 507 of the family's 1533-position model. The record is from RNAcentral.